RNAcentral lists this transfer-messenger RNA (402 nucleotides) under Alphaproteobacteria bacterium CG1_02_46_17. It matches the Rfam family "Alphaproteobacteria transfer-messenger RNA". From Rfam's summary of the family: Bacterial tmRNA, also known as 10Sa RNA or SsrA, is named for its dual tRNA and mRNA-like properties. Its role is to liberate the mRNA from a stalled ribosome. The record is from RNAcentral. RNAcentral also lists the same sequence under 1 other name. Lineage: Bacteria; Pseudomonadati; Pseudomonadota; Alphaproteobacteria.
AACCUUGAUAUUUGGGAACGAACGCCCUAUAAUAAGGAUGUCGGGUUCGCCCGACUAUGAUGCUAAACGCUUUGUGAAAUAGGCGUCGUGGACCCGGGGGCAGUGCCCGGCGGCUCCACCAUAUAAAACUUGAGAAUACAAACGACAGUUUUAUAUGAUGGGGCCGAAACAGGAUCGACACGCGUAAUAAAGAUAAAGUCUGUAUUCGUUUGAGGAACGGUCGUAUCCGUCCAAAUUUUAUAGAUGCAAAUGAUAAUGCACAGACCGUAGCAGCCAAUGACAACUCUUUUGUUGUUGCUGGUGAUAAAAUCGCUGCUUAAUUGCACCGAUGAAGCUACAUAAUCCCUGAAGCUUCGGCAGAGGGUGGGGCGCGGGGCGGCCUAGCAACAGAACUGCCCCAUU